GGAAGGUUUGUAUAGACAUUAUAUUGUCUGGUGUGGGUUACAGGUUAAGGGAAGGUUUGUAUAGACAUUAUAUUGUCUGGUGUGGGUUACAGGUUAAGGGAAGGUUUGUAUAGACAUUAUAUUGUCUGGUGUGGGUUACAGGUUAAGGGAAGGUUUGUAUAGACAUUAUAUUGUCUGGUGUGGGUUGGUUACAGGUUAAGGGAAGGUUUGUAUAGACAUUAUAUUGUCUGGUGUGGGUUGGUUACAGGUUAAGGGAAGGUUUGUAUAGACAUUAUAUUGUCUGGUGUGGGUUGGUUACAGGUUAAGGGAAGGUUUGUAUAGACAUUAUAUUGUCUGGUGUGGGUUGGUUACAGGUUAAGGGAAGGUUUGUACAGACAUUAUAUUGUCUGGUGUGGGUUGAUUACAGGUUAAGGGAAGGUUUGUACAGACAUUAUAUUGUCUGGUGUGGGUUACAGGUUAAGGGAAGGUUUGUAUAGACAUUAUAUUGUCUGGUGUGGGUUGGUUACAGGUUAAGGGAAGGUUUGUAUAGACAUUAUAUUGUCUGGUGUGGGUUGGUUACAGGUUAAGGGAAGGUUUGUAUAGACAUUAUAUUGUCUGGUGUGGGUUGGUUACAGGUUAAGGGAAGGUUUGUAUAGACAUUAUAUUGUCUGGUGUAGGUUACAGGUUAAGGGAAG
Pecten maximus is the source of this 674-nucleotide long non-coding RNA. RefSeq lists it as uncharacterized. The transcript has 3 exons. The record is from RefSeq and is a predicted model, not a curated record. NCBI's taxonomy places the organism in Eukaryota, Metazoa, Mollusca, Bivalvia, Pectinida, Pectinidae.